GAUGAACGCUGGCGGCGUGCCUAAUACAUGCAAGUCGAGCGAACAGACGAGGAGCUUGCUCCUCUGACGUUAGCGGCGGACGGGUGAGUAACACGUGGAUAACCUACCUAUAAGACUGGGAUAACAUCGGGAAACCGGUGCUAAUACCGCAUAAUAUGUUGAACCGCAUGGUUCAAUAGUGAAAGACGGUUUUGCUGUCACUAAUAGAUGGAUCCGCGUCGCAUUAGUUAGUUGGUAAGGUAACGGCUAACCAAGGCAACGUUGCGUAGCCGACCUGAGAGGAUGAUCGGCCACACUGGAACUGAGACACGGUCCAGACUCCUACGGGAGGCAGCAGUGGGGAAUCUUGGACAAUGGGCGAAAGCUUGACGGAGCAAUGCCGCGUGGGUGAUGAAGGUCUUCGGAUCGUAAAACUCUGUUAUUGGGGAAGAACAAAUGUGUAAGUAACUAUGCACGUCUUGACGGUACCUAAUCAGAAAGCCACGGCUAACUACGUG
RNAcentral lists this ribosomal RNA (497 nucleotides) under uncultured bacterium. RNAcentral's name for it is "partial 16S ribosomal RNA". It matches the Rfam family "Bacterial small subunit ribosomal RNA", at positions 28 to 507 of the family's 1533-position model. The record is from RNAcentral.